RNAcentral lists this ribosomal RNA (273 nucleotides) under uncultured bacterium. RNAcentral's name for it is "partial 16S ribosomal RNA". It matches the Rfam family "Bacterial small subunit ribosomal RNA", at positions 524 to 796 of the family's 1533-position model. The record is from RNAcentral.
UACAGAGGGGGCAAGCGUUGUUCGGAAUUACUGGGCGUAAAGGGCGCGUAGGCGGCCUGCUAAGUCGAACGUGAAAUCCCCGGGCUCAACCCGGGAACUGCGUCCGAUACUGGUUGGCUUGAAUUCGGGAGAGGGAUGUGGAAUUCCAGGUGUAGCGGUGAAAUGCGUAGAUAUCUGGAGGAACACCGGUGGCGAAGGCGGCAUCCUGGACCGAUAUUGACGCUGAUGCGCGAAAGCCAGGGGAGCAAACGGGAUUAGAAACCCCUGUAGUCC